Molecule: ribosomal RNA, 245 nt
Filed under: uncultured bacterium
Lineage: Bacteria
Description: partial 16S ribosomal RNA
Rfam family: Bacterial small subunit ribosomal RNA
Source: RNAcentral
GACGGAGGGUGCAAGCGUUGUUCGGAUUGACUGGGCGUAAAGGGCGUGUAGGCGGUUCGUUAGGUCGGGUGUGAAAGCCCGGGGCUCAGCUCCGGAAGUGCGCCCGAAACCGGCGAGCUGGAGCGCGGUAGAGGAGGGUGGAAUUCCUGGUGUAGCGGUGAAAUGCGUAGAUAUCAGGAGGAACACCGGCGGCGAAGGCGGCCCUCUGGACCGUUGCUGACGCUGAGACGCGAAAGCGUGGGGAG